RNAcentral lists this ribosomal RNA (556 nucleotides) under uncultured bacterium. Its description in RNAcentral is "bacterial SSU rRNA". It matches the Rfam family "Bacterial small subunit ribosomal RNA", at positions 355 to 914 of the family's 1533-position model. The record is from RNAcentral.
UGAGGAAUAUUGGACAAUGGGCGCAAGCCUGAUCCAGCCAUGCCGCGUGCAGGAUGACGGUCCUAUGGAUUGUAAACUGCUUUUGUACGAGAAGAAACACUCCUUCGUGAAGGAGCUUGACGGUAUCGUAAGAAUAAGGAUCGGCUAACUCCGUGCCAGCAGCCGCGGUAAUACGGAGGAUCCAAGCGUUAUCCGGAAUCAUUGGGUUUAAAGGGUCCGUAGGCGGUUUAGUAAGUCAGUGGUGAAAGCCCAUCGCUCAACGGUGGAACGGCCAUUGAUACUGCUGAACUUGAAUUAUUAGGAAGUAACUAGAAUAUGUAGUGUAGCGGUGAAAUGCUUAGAGAUUACAUGGAAUACCAAUUGCGAAGGCAGGUUACUACUAAUGGAUUGACGCUGAUGGACGAAAGCGUGGGUAGCGAACAGGAUUAGAUACCCUGGUAGUCCACGCCGUAAACGAUGGAUACUAGCUGUUGGGGGCAACUUCAGUGGCUAAGCGAAAGUGAUAAGUAUCCCACCUGGGAGUACGUUCGCAAGAAUGAAACUCAAAGGAAUUGAC